Molecule: ribosomal RNA, 279 nt
Filed under: uncultured bacterium
Lineage: Bacteria
Description: partial 16S ribosomal RNA
Rfam family: Bacterial small subunit ribosomal RNA
Source: RNAcentral
UGCCAGCCGCCGCGGUAAAACGUAGGACGCAAGCGUUAUCCGGAAUUACUGGGCGUAAAGCGCGCGCAGGCGGGUUGACAAGUCAUGCGUGAAAGCUCCCGGCUAAACUGGGAGAGGUCGGAUGAGACUGUCAGUCUGGAGUAGGUCAGAGGCGUGUGGAAUUCCGCGUGUAGUGGUGAAAUGCGUAGAGAUGCGGAGGAACACCAGUGGCGAAGGCGGCUUUCUGGACCAAUACUGACGCUGAGAUGCGAAAGCGUGGGGAGCGAACAGGAUUAGAUA